Molecule: non-coding RNA, 58 nt
Organism: Aedes albopictus (Asian tiger mosquito)
Lineage: Eukaryota; Metazoa; Arthropoda; Insecta; Diptera; Culicidae
Source: Rfam
UAACCUAGUGGUUAAGGCUACGGAUCGCCAAUCCGGAGACGGCGGGUUCGAUUCCCGU